This 508-nucleotide ribosomal RNA is filed under the name uncultured bacterium. Its description in RNAcentral is "bacterial SSU rRNA". It matches the Rfam family "Bacterial small subunit ribosomal RNA", at positions 1002 to 1509 of the family's 1533-position model. The record is from RNAcentral.
AGAGAUGGAUUGGUGGCCUUCGGGAACUCUGAGACAGGUGCUGCAUGGCUGUCGUCAGCUCGUGUUGUGAAAUGUUGGGUUAAGUCCCGCAACGAGCGCAACCCUUAUCCUUUGUUGCCAGCGGUUAGGCCGGGAACUCAAAGGAGACUGCCAGUGAUAAACUGGAGGAAGGUGGGGAUGACGUCAAGUCAUCAUGGCCCUUACGAGUAGGGCUACACACGUGCUACAAUGGCGCAUACAAAGAGAAGCGACCUCGCGAGAGCAAGCGGACCUCAUAAAGUGCGUCGUAGUCCGGAUUGGAGUCUGCAACUCGACUCCAUGAAGUCGGAAUCGCUAGUAAUCGUAGAUCAGAAUGCUACGGUGAAUACGUUCCCGGGCCUUGUACACACCGCCCGUCACACCAUGGGAGUGGGUUGCAAAAGAAGUAGGUAGCUUAACCUUCGGGAGGGCGCUUACCACUUUGUGAUUCAUGACUGGGGUGAAGUCGUAACAAGGUAGGCGUAGUGCU